This 605-nucleotide unclassified non-coding RNA is filed under the name Hevea brasiliensis (rubber tree). Lineage: Eukaryota; Viridiplantae; Streptophyta; Magnoliopsida; Malpighiales; Euphorbiaceae. The record is from RNAcentral.
AUUCUCUCUCUAUUCUUUGUUCUUUCUGUUCUUGUGUUUCUGUGGUUAGAAAAUUACAUAACAAAUUCCCACUUGCAGUUAAUCAAACCCCAAUUUCUUGGCAACAUAGGAGGCCAAGGCUAAAGCUGUGAAAAGUUAUCAUUGCACCAAGUGCCCAAUUAAAUCCAUUGCAAAGGGGUAUCAAUCUCCUGGAAGAAUCAUCAAUAACCAAAUGGCCUCAAGGAGGCUACAACUUGGCUGGCACCUUGCAUGUUGAGCACGAGAUUCCUUAGCUUGGCAUAAACAUGCUGAGUUGACACAACUACUAAUGUCAAACAAACCCCUUAUUUGUUUGUUGGAUAAUUGAUUUCCAAUCUAAAUACCAAUAAACUACCACAGUCAAAACAAAUGAAAAACUCAUAAUCGCCUAUUAAUAUAAGAUAUACCACAAAUAUUUCUUGUCAUAAAUCCUUGCUUCCAACAACAUGACAAAGCCUAUAAAGACUAAGUAGAUCACAACAAGAUGCACAGCCAUAAGCGAUGAGCACCGCUCAGUUACUUCACACCUCUUUCAGUACGGACAAACACAGGAAACAAGCUAAGUGCUUGUAAAUAUUAAAAAAAAA